GGAUGACGUCCGAUCAGGGACGGAUACCCGCUGAACUUAAGCAUA
Molecule: ribosomal RNA, 45 nt
Filed under: Penicillium granulatum
Lineage: Eukaryota; Fungi; Ascomycota; Eurotiomycetes; Eurotiales; Aspergillaceae
Description: partial 28S ribosomal RNA
Source: RNAcentral